Molecule: RNA transcript, 1537 nt
Organism: Diospyros lotus (date-plum)
Lineage: Eukaryota; Viridiplantae; Streptophyta; Magnoliopsida; Ericales; Ebenaceae
Gene name: probable protein phosphatase 2C 78
Exons: 2
Source: RefSeq, a predicted model, not a curated record
UAUUCCCUCCCCCUCUGUUUCUCUCUCCCGACCUCCCCUUCUCUCUGUCUCUUCACCUUCGCCGUCAACCUUCCCUUCUCUCUCUCUCAACCUCCCUCUCUCUCUGUCUCUUCACCUUCGCCGUCGCACCUCCAGCAACCGUCGGAUCCGUCUCGCCUCCGCCGCUCUCUUUCUCCCACGACUGGGAUUCAUCGUCUGGUUUUGCAAAUCAGCAAAUCGCUUCACCAGAAUCCAACAACUAAAGUUGAUUUUUUUAGGGGAGAGAGCGGGCAAGAAACUACCAUUUCUAGAGAGAGACUGAGAGAGGGAGAGGAAGAUGUUGGAGUCCUGUUACAGGCCACUGGAGCGGUGCUUCGGUUGUGAUGGCGGCGGCGGCAGAGGCGGCAGGCUUCUGUGGGACAUGGGCUUGAAGCCCCACGCUUCCGGAGACUACUCGAUUGCGGUGGUUCAAGCGAAUUCUGCGUUGGAAGACCAAGGCCAGGUUUUUAAGUCGCCUUCCGCCACCUUCGUUGGCGUCUACGACGGCCACGGAAGCCCCGAAGUCUCUCGCUUCAUCACCCAUCACCUCUUUCCUGUCGUCCACAGUACUGUUCCACAUCCCUAGUUUCAGAUUCCUCUUUUCCGUUACAUUUUUGUGUGGAUUUGUGUUUCGGUGCUUGUUCGUUCUAUACUUUCUCGGUAGCGAAACACAUUGCUGCUCUCUUCAGUAUGAUUGUUGCAAAAUUGGUUAAUUGUUCAUUCAUUUUCAGUUAGGUUGGAAGAUAAGAAGAAAUUGAAUUUAUGAACUUUGUUAGAAGAAACAAGGGCAGCUACUUAUGGGGAUAAUUAAUGGUAAUUCCUAAUCAAAAUUAGACAAUCUAAAUCCCUAAUUUGCUUCCCAUAAUUUGCUUUGGAAGGAGGAGGGAUUGUCUGCGGAGGUGAUAAAGAGGGCAUUUGAUGCCACUGAAGAUGAGUUUAUUCGCUUGGUGAAGCGGUCAUGGAUGGCUCGGCCACAAACAUCCUUUGGAUGCUUUUAAUUUUCCAUUGUAUAGAGUAUUCUUUUAUUGUUGCAACUGCAAUAUACUACAGCCUUGACUCCAGUUUUCACAUUUUAUGGAUUGAAAACAAGUGUGAGCAACCUGGAGGACCAUGGACCAUUGAUAAUACCCUUGAUUGACCUGAGGUUCUAGAGCCAUGCAGUCUUGGCAUUGCAGGAGGCAACAGAGACAUACCUUGUUGGGUUGUUUGAAGAUACCAAUCUCUAUACAAUUCAUGCAAAGCAUCACCAUUAUGCCUAAAGACGUUCAGCUUGCAAGGAGAAUUAGGGGGGAGGGGGGGUGGGCUUAGUAGCGUGUAGGUGGUGAGGCUAUGUGAGGCAAAGUUAAUUGUUCUUAUUGAUGCUAAUGGGAACCUUUCUAGCUGUGUUUUCUUUGUUAAAACCAUAUAGUUAUGUUGUCCUUCCCUGUGGAAACUAAAAGUUUGGUGCAAUGGUUUUGGAUUGUGUACACAGGAUUAUAUACCUUGAUACAGUCUUGCUUUUUUGGUGUUAAUGUCUUAU